RNAcentral lists this long non-coding RNA (1420 nucleotides) under Vulpes vulpes (red fox). Its description in RNAcentral is "lncRNA (ENSVVUG00000007700.1)". The record is from RNAcentral. Lineage: Eukaryota; Metazoa; Chordata; Mammalia; Carnivora; Canidae.
UUGGGACCACCCGCAGAGUAGACACAACAUAACGUCAUCUGUUAGAGGCUAUGAUUCCCACCACUCCACGCGUUCUCUCUCCUAGUAUGACAUCAAAAGGCAAACCACCAAGGUAAGGAACUGCCUCCUUCACCAGAGAAAAAGCUUCCCUUGGGUUACUCAGGUGCCUUACAAACGACUGGGAUGAAUUUAUUUAUUUGUGUAUUUAUUUGUUAAAGAUUUUACUUAUUUAUUUUUGAGAGAGUGAGAGAAAGCAUGAGCAAGGGGAGAGGGUGGGGCAGAGGGAGAAGCUGACUGAGUGGGGAGCCAGCUGGGGACUUGAACCCAGGCCCCUGAGAUCAUGACUGAGCCAUAAGCAGACACUUAACUGACUGAGCCACCCAGGUGCCUGGACUUGGAUGAAUUUAGAACUGAGCUGUGUCCUAUCUUGCAGAGUUCUCUACCAUCAGAAGAAACAGCAGGUGGUGGAUCCAUCCAGCCCGUUAACAGCACACCAGCCUCCAAAAAGAAGUCCACACUGGAAAAGCAGGGGUCAGGUCACCAUGAUCCUCAUCCAAGGCCACCUCUCCACACUGCCCAGCCUCUUCCAUCAGCCAGUGUGGAAAACUGGCCACACUUCAGAGGAACGUCCAUCAUUUUGCGGUCUGGGAUCUGGAUGAUUUAGCAGGUGACCAUGAGCCAGCACUAAACAGAAUGGAGCUGAAUUUCCUAGGGAGACAUAAAACUAAUGUCCUGGCCUCUUGUGGUUACAAAAGAUCCUUCCCAACACAGCACAACUCAGCCCAGGAAAUUUCCCAGGUGAUUUUAGUUGGAUGCAAGUUUGCCCCUCACUUCCAAGCCUCGACUGUUUUGGAAUGUUGCUAUGCAUUAUUAAACAGCUGCCACAUUUUGUCCAAGAGGUGGCCACAUUUCAGUGGCUGGUGAAGUAAUUCCUGUUUAUAUGCGCAGUUGCAAAACAUUUCGGAACCCUCUGGCAUGAAAAGCAUCUUAUAAUACAUCAUUACUUAUUUUUAACAAUAGUCGGAGAGGGAUGAGGACUUUUUCCCACAUACACAUACUUUGAAAGGUGAUAGUCAACCAGGAACAACUUCUGAUGGGUUCUCUGCUUUUAUCCAGUUGAUUGGAGCACAGCUGGGAAUGUCGCUUUAAUGGUGAAACAAAUCUUAAGGUAAUUUCUUGGAAUGCGUAUCUGAUGAGACAAGACCGAAAACAAAAGAAAAAAAAAUAGUAGAGUUGAACACAGUCAUCUACAUAUUUAGUUGCUUCGAACAAUAAGAGCCAUCACACUAGAGAAGAAUUUGUGUUCUGUUGAGUCACAUAGCCAUUGUGCUCAUUCAUCAUGGGCUGGGCAGCCGAAUAAUUGUGAAAAUCAAAUUAUUUCUUUCAGAAAGCUGGCCAAAAAAAUAUUGCAAGAAACUUG